UCACCUGGUCACUCCUUAUUUAAGACUGCACUCACUCUCAGUCAGUGUCUUCUACACCUUUGUAUGGGGUGGCAGCUGAUUCUCCAACCCAUGUGUGUCUGUUCUGUUCUGUUCUCCAGUAUCAUUUGCCUCACCCUUUGUUAAAUAAAUCUUCAUUGAAUGGACUGAA
Long non-coding RNA from Perca flavescens (yellow perch), 169 nucleotides. RefSeq lists it as uncharacterized. NCBI's taxonomy places the organism in Eukaryota, Metazoa, Chordata, Actinopteri, Perciformes, Percidae. The record is from RefSeq and is a predicted model, not a curated record. The transcript is spliced from 2 exons.